This is a small nuclear RNA of Heterocephalus glaber (naked mole-rat), 111 nucleotides long. The record is from Ensembl. NCBI's taxonomy places the organism in Eukaryota, Metazoa, Chordata, Mammalia, Rodentia, Bathyergidae.
GUGCUCAUUUUGGCAGCAUAUAUAGUAAUACUAGAAUGAUACAGUGAAGAUAAACAUGGCCUUGGUGUAAGAAUGACAUAUAAAUAAAUACAUGAAACAUUCCCUAUUUUA